GCCAGUGGGCAGUUUGCACCCCCUGAUUCCUGAAGAGACCGGCCAAAGUACCUGUCAGGAUCAGGGGGUUUUACUU
This 76-nucleotide non-coding RNA is filed under the name Salmonella enterica subsp. enterica serovar Typhimurium. Lineage: Bacteria; Pseudomonadati; Pseudomonadota; Gammaproteobacteria; Enterobacterales; Enterobacteriaceae. The record is from RNAcentral.